UGUACGCAAGACUGUAAGUCGCAUUGAAUAAAAGCGUCUGCGAAAUGGCAUAUA
This is a non-coding RNA of Salmo salar (Atlantic salmon), 54 nucleotides long. The record is from Rfam. Lineage: Eukaryota; Metazoa; Chordata; Actinopteri; Salmoniformes; Salmonidae.